CCUAUACGUUGCCUCGGCGGAUCAGCCCGCGCCCCGUAAAACGGGACGGCCCGCCCGAGGACCCUAAACUCUGUUUUUAGUGGAACUUCUGAGUAAAACAAACAAAUAAAUCAAAACUUUCAACAACGGAUCUCUUGGUUCUGGCAUCGAUGAAGAACGCAGCAAAAUGCGAUAAGUAAUGUGAAUUGCAGAAUUCAGUGAAUCAUCGAAUCUUUGAACGCACAUUGCGCCCGCCAGUAUUCUGGCGGGCAUGCCUGUUCGAGCGUCAUUUCAACCCUCAAGCUCAGCUUGGUGUUGGGACUCGCGGUAACCCGCGUUCCCCAAAUCGAUUGGCGGUCACGUCGAGCUUCCAUAGCGUAGUAAUCAUACACCUCGUUACUGGUAAUCGUCGCGGCCACGCCGUAAAACCCCAACUUCUGAAUGUUGACCUCGGAUCAGGUAGGAAUACCCGCUGAACUUAAGCAUAU
This 467-nucleotide ribosomal RNA is filed under the name Fusarium equiseti. RNAcentral's name for it is "eukaryotic LSU rRNA". The stretch from base 115 to 268 matches the Rfam family "5.8S ribosomal RNA". The record is from RNAcentral. Lineage: Eukaryota; Fungi; Ascomycota; Sordariomycetes; Hypocreales; Nectriaceae.